UGGGAGGGAGAUCUGGCUGCAGCAUCUGUCACCCCAUUGAUCACCAGAGUUGAAUCAGCUGAUCUAGCUGGCUAGGCGGGAGUUCCCUUCUUCCCUCACAGGUCUAUAUGCUUCUCUCCAGAAGCUGCACACUUAGUCGAAGAGGACUACCUUCCCUGAAUAGAGGAGGACUAGUCCAAAUA
Molecule: small nuclear RNA, 182 nt
Filed under: Cricetulus griseus (Chinese hamster)
Lineage: Eukaryota; Metazoa; Chordata; Mammalia; Rodentia; Cricetidae
Description: 7SK RNA
Rfam family: 7SK RNA
About the family: 7SK was discovered as an abundant small nuclear RNA in the mid-70s but a possible function has only recently been suggested. Two independent studies have found that 7SK RNA binds the CDK9/cyclin T complex (known as elongation factor P-TEFb).
Source: Rfam by way of RNAcentral